CUGGGAAGCUCUUAUGCGGAGUUAGCAACCCACCCCCAAAUGUCAACCCAAAGGGAUGGCUUCCACUGUGAGGUCAGCUUCCGGGCCCCAGACACUGUGUGGUUUAUUUGCUUUCUCCUGUUGGGAACUGUGCUGCCAGCAGUGAACACUGCCCAUCGGGAACAAAACCCAGAUUCAGUUACCUAGUCACUGCGUUUACAGAGUGGAACAUCAAUGCUUGUGGAGGCAGACAUGGAAGUGUACAUGUGGAAGACAGCAGACAGCCUUGGGUGCCUGACUUCACCUGCAGGUCACCUGCAAUGGGAUCCCUGCUGGUUUUCUGGCUUAUGUUGGAUCAACGUGACAUUAUCGUUGCUAAGAAAAGCAGCUUCCUCCCAGGGCAAGGACAGAUGCCACCUGGAUACGUACACUAAUGCUCUCCUCUAUGAUAUUUGCCUGACCUGAACCACAGCCUCCAAAUGCCAAUUUUUCUCACACUUUAAGACACUGAAGCUAUAUCUUGAAGAUCCUCCUACCGAUGAGCAAUGGACCAGAAAGGCAUGCCAGCUUCACAACUGCCUGCGGAAAUUCAGGCAUACUUUAGAGCGAAGCA
Long non-coding RNA from Mus pahari (shrew mouse), 592 nucleotides. RefSeq lists it as uncharacterized. The transcript is spliced from 3 exons. Lineage: Eukaryota; Metazoa; Chordata; Mammalia; Rodentia; Muridae. The record is from RefSeq and is a predicted model, not a curated record.